UCCAGACUCCUACGGGAGGCAGCAGUGGGGAAUAUUGCACAAUGGGGGAAACCCUGAUGCAGCGACGCCGCGUGAGCGAUGAAGUAUUUCGGUAUGUAAAGCUCUAUCAGCAGGGAAGAAAAUGACGGUACCUGAGUAAGAAGCACCGGCUAAAUACGUGCCAGCAGCCGCGGUAAUACGUAUGGUGCAAGCGUUAUCCGGAUUUACUGGGUGUAAAGGGAGCGUAGACGGCGGUGCAAGCCAGAUGUGAAAGCCAGGGGCUCAACCCCGGGACUGCAUUUGGAACUGUGCUGCUAGAGUGUCGGAGAGGCAGGCGGAAUUCCUAGUGUAGCGGUGAAAUGCGUAGAUAUUAGGAGGAACACCAGUGGCGAAGGCGGCCUGCUGGGCUUUUACUGACGCUGAGGCUCGAAAGUGUGGGGAGCAAACAGGAUUAGAUACCCCAGUAAA
RNAcentral lists this ribosomal RNA (447 nucleotides) under uncultured bacterium. Its description in RNAcentral is "partial 16S ribosomal RNA". It matches the Rfam family "Bacterial small subunit ribosomal RNA", at positions 330 to 794 of the family's 1533-position model. The record is from RNAcentral.